ACCGUCAAAUCCGUAACGGACCCCAAUUGGGGUCUGAACAUCAAUGUCACUCACCGUAAGCUCGGUUUAGACCCCAAUCGGGGUCUUGCGAAUCAGUCAUACACUUUCCUAAUUAUUUACGCUCAUAUUUAUUUUCUUUCCAAUCAAACCGCAUUUGUGAGUACUAAAUAAAAUAACUAAAUAAAUUUAAAUUAUUUUUACGCAUUCAAAUCUUUCAUAUUUAGCAUCCCGUUAGAAAAUAUACCUUUUUAAAAUCCAAUCGUAAUUACCGGGAAUUCCGAUCGAACUCGCCAUGUUUGUUUACAUUAGUUGUUUUUUUUAAAUUUGAAGACGCAUAGACAAGAUGGCGAUGGUGAUAGAAGUUUUGCAUCGAAUGAUCCGAUUCGUUAAAAUAAAGAAUCGAUUUAAUAAUUUUAUAUUAUUUGAUAUUAUAAUAUUACUAAAUUGCACUUUUGUAUACUUACCAUAAUCUGAAAAUAAAUUAGGAAAAGUAAAAUUACUUAAUUUAUUUUGAAAAAAAAAAAAACUAGAAAAUCAGUGGUAGAAAAUACGUUGCAGCCGGAAUAAAAAAAAUCUUCGGUUUUUAGGGUUUCUGAAGACGGUAAAUGAAGACUUAUUUAUUUCUUCGGGUGUUUUAUGUGCAGAAUUCCUGUAGACCUGCCAAACUUAAUGGCGAUUCGUUACUUCCAACUUUUUAACUGAGCGGCAAAGCUAUUUGACGAGAGCUGUAGUUAGGUGUGGUUAUCGCAAAAUUUUAUGACGAUUUUAUUGUUUGAAAGGGCAAAUAGGUAGUCGGAAGUGCUACUCGCUGUUCAUCGAAAGCUGGUCCAAAAUGGAAAGAUGGCCGCCGCCGACUUAUUUUUAACCGACUUCCUAAAAAGCGGAGGUUCUCAAUUAGACCGUUUUUUUUGUAUGUUUGUUACGCGAUUACUCAGCCAUUUAUUUAUCGAUUUUUAAGAUUCUUUUUUUGUUUGAUAGCGUAUACUUCCGAGGUGGUCCCAUUAUCAUCAGAUCCUGGACCUAAUAACAAAUAUGGGGAAUAUACCCUUUCGACCAAAAACAAACAUCCAAAUUGAGAUUCUCCUCCUUUUUUGGGAUUCGGUUAAAAAUAUUUGGUGACUUUAAAAUCAAUCAAUUAUUAUUAUUGUUUCUCAUCAUCAAAUAAGUACAUGACUUUGGUAGUUACAAAUUGCAUUAUAUUUCAGAACGCCAGGCUUACCCUCCGCCGAAACAAAAAUCUUAGAAUUGUUGAGAAAUAAUAUAAGAAUAAAUUAAAAUUCCGUAAUAGGUAAUAAAAAUUCAAUUAAAGUUAAAAAUUAUUACGAAUGACGCAACACCAAAAUAAAUAAUACAUAUAAAAAUGUAAUGCUAAAAACUUUCAUAAAACUUAAAUAUCUUUUUUCUUAACAAUAAAAAUAAACUGAACCUAUAAUUUAACAUUAAUAAAUUAAAUUGAAAAAAGUUGCUAUUAAAAAAAAUAUAUAAAAUUGGUAUUCGAUUAUUUAUAAUAAAUAUCCGGUUUAGGUAUCGAAUGCACACCGAUGAUUGAAAAUAAAUAAAUAAAACACUAUUCCAAACUCUACUUGUCUGUGACUUUGAUCUUGUAAAUAUUGUUCAUUUUUAUUGUGUAUUUUAUGUGCUGAUUUUUUAGUUAUUGAACAUCAAUAAGUGCACGAAAUGUAUUGCAAUGGAUUGAAAAUGUUAUAAAUAUGACGUUUGUGUUGUGUUUGAGAAAGUGAUGCGAUUAUUUAUUGGUAAGUUUUCACCAAAUUUGAAAUGCCUAACUUUUCGAUAGACUUAAAAACACCGUAAUUAUUAUCUUUUUCUGAAUUAACUGACCCCAUUUGACCUUUGCACGUUGUUGUCAAAUAAGUGAGCUCUAAAGUUAUAGUUAAAAUACUUCUGAUCAGGCAUUACGGACUUAGAAUUCAUGUGUGGAAAGUUAGUACAAAUUUUUGACUUCCAUGUCGCGAUUCAAAAUAUCCCGCCGAAUCAACGGUAAAGUCAUA
Molecule: long non-coding RNA, 2009 nt
Organism: Helicoverpa armigera (cotton bollworm)
Lineage: Eukaryota; Metazoa; Arthropoda; Insecta; Lepidoptera; Noctuidae
Exons: 2
Source: RefSeq, a predicted model, not a curated record